RNAcentral lists this ribosomal RNA (377 nucleotides) under uncultured eukaryote. RNAcentral describes it as "partial 18S ribosomal RNA". It matches the Rfam family "Eukaryotic small subunit ribosomal RNA", at positions 592 to 976 of the family's 1831-position model. The record is from RNAcentral.
CAAUAGCGUAUAUUAAAGUUGUUGCAGCUAAAAAGCUCGUAGUUGGAUUUCGGGGCAGCCUGGCUGGUCCGCCGCAAGGCGAGUACUGGUCAGCCGCCCUUCCUCUCGAAAGCCCCGACUGCUCUUCGUUGCAGUGGUCGGGUAGUUCGGGACGUUUACUUUGAAAAAAUUAGAGUGUUCAAGGCAGGCCUACGCCUGAAUACAUUAGCAUGGAAUAAUGGAAGAGGACCUCGGUCCUAUUUUGUUGGUUUCCAGGGCCGAAGUAAUGAUUAAGAGGGACAGUUGGGGGCAUUCGUAUUUAAUUGUCAGAGGUGAAAUUCUCGGAUUUAUGAAAGACGAACAACUGCGAAAGCAUUUGCCAAGGAUGUUUUCAUUAA